This 451-nucleotide ribosomal RNA is filed under the name uncultured bacterium. RNAcentral describes it as "partial 16S ribosomal RNA". It matches the Rfam family "Bacterial small subunit ribosomal RNA", at positions 354 to 796 of the family's 1533-position model. The record is from RNAcentral.
GUGGGGAAUAUUGGACAAUGGGCGCAAGCCUGAUCCAGCCAUGCCGCGUGUGUGAAGAAGGCCUUUUGGUUGUAAAGCACUUUAAGCGAGGAGGAGGCUACUUGGAUUAAUACUCUAGGAUAGUGGACGUUACUCGCACAAUAAGCACCGGCUAACUCUGUGCAAGCAGCCGCGGUAAUACAGAGGGUGCGAGCGUUAAUCGGAUUUACUGGGCGUAAAGCGUGCGUAGGCGGCUUCUUAAGUCUGAUGUGAAAUCCCUGAGCUUAACUUAGGAAUUGCAUUCGAUACUGGGAAGCUAGAGUAUGGGAGAGGAUGGUAGAAUUCCAGGUGUAGCGGUGAAAUGCGUAGAGAUCUGGAGGAAUACCGAUGGCGAAGGCAGCCAUCUGGCCUAAUACUGACGCUGAGGUACGAAAGCAUGGGGAGCAAACAGGAUUAGAAACCCUUGUAGUCC